GACGAACGCUGGCGGCGUGCUUAACACAUGCAAGUCGAACGGAGAUAAGUUGAAAGCUUGCUGGAUACUUAUCUUAGUGGCGGACGGGCGAGUAACGCGUGAGCAACCUGCCCCAAACUGGGGGAUAACGUCGGGAAACCGGCGCUAAUACCGCAUAACACUACGAAGCCGCAUGGUUUUGUAGUCAAAGCUCCGGCGGUUUGGGAUGGGCUCGCGUCCGAUUAGCUAGUUGGCGGGGUAAAGGCCCACCAAGGCGACGAUCGGUAGCCGGACUGAGAGGUUGGCCGGCCGCAUUGGGACUGAGACACGGCCCAGACUCCUACGGGAGGCAGCAGUGGGGAAUAUUGCGCAAUGGAGGAAACUCUGACGCAGCAACGCCGCGUGAAGGAAGAAGGCCUUCGGGUUGUAAACUUCUUUGAUCGGGGACGAAAGAUGACGGUACCCGAGGAACAAGCCACGGCUAACUACGUG
Molecule: ribosomal RNA, 471 nt
Filed under: uncultured organism
Description: bacterial SSU rRNA
Rfam family: Bacterial small subunit ribosomal RNA
Source: RNAcentral